UCCGUAGGGUGAACCUGCUUGGGGCCCGGGGGGGGGGGGGGGUUACUCCCCAAACCCCUGUGGUGAGAAAAAACAUACCAAUUGUUGCCUCGGCGGAUCAGGAUCAGCCCGCUCCCGGUAAAACGGGACGGCCCGCCAGAGGAGGGCCCCCCCAAACCUAUUUCUGUUUCUAUAUGUAACUUCUGAGUAAAACCAUAAAUAAAUCAAAACUUUCAACAACGGAUCUCUUGGUUCUGGCAUCGAUGAAGAACGCAGCAAAAUGCGAUAAGUAAUGUGAAUUGCAGAAUUCAGUGAAUCAUCGAAUCUUUGAACGCACAUUGCGCCCGCCAGUAUUCUGGCGGGCAUGCCUGUUCGAGCGUCAUUUCAACCCUCAAGCCCAGCUUGGUGUUGGGACUCGCGAGUCAAAUCGCGUUCCCCAAAUUGAUUGGCGGUCACGUCGAGCUUCCAUAGCGUAGUAGUAAAACCCUCGUUACUGGUAAUCGUCGCGGCCACGCCGUUAAACCCCAACUUCUGAAUGUUGACCUCGGAUCAGGUAGGAAUACCCGCUGAACUUAAGCAUAUCAAUAAGCGGAGGA
Molecule: ribosomal RNA, 575 nt
Filed under: Fusarium sp. Fs008TNPB1-TR
Lineage: Eukaryota; Fungi; Ascomycota; Sordariomycetes; Hypocreales; Nectriaceae
Description: eukaryotic LSU rRNA
Rfam family: 5.8S ribosomal RNA (bases 208-361)
Source: RNAcentral